This 329-nucleotide unclassified non-coding RNA is filed under the name soil metagenome. RNAcentral's name for it is "partial contains 5.8S ribosomal RNA, internal transcribed spacer 2, and large subunit ribosomal RNA". The stretch from base 1 to 120 matches the Rfam family "5.8S ribosomal RNA", at positions 35 to 154 of the family's 154-position model. The record is from RNAcentral.
GAUGAAGAACGUAGUGAAAUGCGAUAACUAAUGUGAAUUGCAGAAUUCAGUGAAUCAUCGAGUCUUUGAACGCACAUUGCGCCCCCUGGUAUUCCGGGGGGCAUGCCUGUCCGAGCGUCAUUACAACCCUCAAGCUCAGCUUGGUGUUGGGCCCCGCCGCCCCGGCGGGCCCUAAAGUCAGUGGCGGUGCCGUCCGGCUCCGAGCGUAGUAAUUCUUCUCGCUCUGGAGGUCCGGUCGUGUGCUCGCCAGCAACCCCCAAUUUUUUUCAGGUUGACCUCGGAUCAGGUAGGGAUACCCGCUGAACUUAAGCAUAUCAAUAAGCGGAGGA